Molecule: long non-coding RNA, 950 nt
Filed under: Cucumis sativus (cucumber)
Lineage: Eukaryota; Viridiplantae; Streptophyta; Magnoliopsida; Cucurbitales; Cucurbitaceae
Description: long non-coding RNA (CSAT_LNC001851)
Source: RNAcentral
AAAAAGAAAUUUAUCUCUCUCUCUCUCUCGCGCGCUGCACAGCCCCCCCCCCCCCCGUUCUCUUCUCUUUUCCUUUCUCUUUUCUCUUCUCCCUUCCGUCUCCUUCCGUUCGCAGCCAGCAACCGCCGCCCCUUCUUCUCUUUUCUUCCUCUUUCGUUCGACGUCGACGAUCAGACCAAGCCGAAAACGAAAACCCAUCCCUCUUUUCUUCUUCGGAUCUAAACCGCCGCGCCCAUCCGCCUGUAACCGUCGUGCCUCUCCGCUCACAACCGUCGUGCCUCCCUCGGAAAGCAAAUCGUCGUCCAGAUCUGCAUUGCCGAGCCGUCCAGGUCCUCGCCGCCGCUCGUGCUUCACCUUGUAGUUCGCCGUAACCCAGAUCCAUCGCUGUCCGAUCUCUUCUCCUCGUCCCGCCGUCGCCGCUGCACUCGCCUGAAGUCAUCGUCCGUCCUGUUUCGCGAAGCUCCGCCGCUCCACCUGUUAUCGACGGCGGCCGACUAGCUCUUAUUAAAAAAAAAAAAAAUCCAAAACCCUUCUGCCUUCGUUUGCAAAACGUCGCGGCGUGAAUUCUGCCUUCUAAUCGUGGAUUUGACCUCCAAGUUGUGAGUUGAUUGGUAUUGUGGAUAUAGUAAUAUUGUUCUUGGCUAGUAAGUUUUAAAAACUGGUUAAUUGAUUUGGGUAAUGCUGAUUUUAAGGUGAUACUGAAGAGGUCGUGCUUAGAUAUCUAAGUUCCAACGUGAGCUUCAUUGGAAUUGUUGCUUCAUUCUACUUGGAAUUUGUCUUAUUGAAUUUAGCCCGAUUGAAAAACUUACAUAACCUUGAGGUAAGGGAUUUUCUACUGGACUCACCUAAAGUUUUUGAGUUGUGUUGGACUGUAUGGAUGAUGAUUAAGAUGUACAUGUUUGAUUGCAGACUAAAUGUUUAGUGUAUGUUGUAUUUGACUGGAAACAUAU